RNAcentral lists this ribosomal RNA (865 nucleotides) under uncultured bacterium. RNAcentral describes it as "bacterial SSU rRNA". It matches the Rfam family "Bacterial small subunit ribosomal RNA", at positions 37 to 896 of the family's 1533-position model. The record is from RNAcentral.
UGGCGGAAUGCUUUACACAUGCAAGUCGAACGGAACUUAAGGGCUUGCUCUUAAGUUUAGUGGCGAACGGGUGAGUAACAUAUCGGAACGUAUCCAAUAAUGGGGGAUAACUAAGCGAAAGCUUGGCUAAUACCGCAUAUACCCUAAGGGGGAAAGCAGGGGAUCUUCGGACCUUGCGUUAAUGGAGCGGCUGAUAUCUGAUUAGCUAGUUGGUGGGGUAAAGGCUCACCAAGGCGACGAUCAGUAGCUGGUCUGAGAGGACGACCAGCCACACUGGAACUGAGACACGGUCCAGACUCCUACGGGAGGCAGCAGUGGGGAAUUUUGGACAAUGGGCGAAAGCCUGAUCCAGCCAUUCCGCGUGAGUGAAGAAGGCCUUCGGGUUGUAAAGCUCUUUCGCAAGGGAAGAAACGUUACGGGUGAAUAACUCGUGAUAAUGACGGUACCUUGAUAAGAAGCACCGGCUAACUACGUGCCAGCAGCCGCGGUAAUACGUAGGGUGCGAGCGUUAAUCGGAAUUACUGGGCGUAAAGCGUGCGCAGGCAGUUUUGUAAGUCAGAUGUGAAAUCCCCGAGCUCAACUUGGGAACUGCAUUUGAAACUACAAGACUAGAAUAGGUCAGAGGGGGGUAGAAUUCCACGUGUAGCAGUGAAAUGCGUAGAGAUGUGGAGGAAUAUCAAUGGCGAAGGCAGCCCCCUGGGAUCAUAUUGACGCUCAUGCACGAAAGCGUGGGGAGCAAACAGGAUUAGAUACCCUGGUAGUCCACGCCCUAAACGAUGUCAACUAGUUGUUGGUAGAGUAAAAUCUAUGAGUAACGCAGCUAACGCGUGAAGUUGACCGCCUGGGGAGUACGAUCGNCAGAUUA